Molecule: long non-coding RNA, 1697 nt
Filed under: Malus domestica (apple)
Lineage: Eukaryota; Viridiplantae; Streptophyta; Magnoliopsida; Rosales; Rosaceae
Description: long non-coding RNA (MDOM_LNC003837)
Source: RNAcentral
GUGAAGGUCGCUUAUAAACGAUCGCGUUAAGUUCAAUUCCUAGCAUGAGUGACAUGAUGUCAUAGUUGCAAGUGUUUUGUCAAUGCUUAUGAUUUUCAUUAAACGUAAUGAUUUUUUAUUGUAUCUCUAUUAUGAUGUCAUGUAAGGAACUUUAGAAGAAUGUUUUGGGUUGUCGAAUGAUGUCAUCCAAUCCAAUAAAACAAGGAAAAUCUGAGAGUUAACUAGUGAUGUCAUGGUUAAUUUGGAGCAUUGUCGUUCACAAUUUAAUGAAGUAGUAACUGGAAAUCAAGUUAUUUGCAUACAUGUCAUAUGUGGAGAAAAGGCCUCUAGCUAUCUCAUCCAUCAUCUUAUUUCUCACAUUCGUUUUACAAUCCGUCUAGUUUUUCAUACUUGUUUGUUUGUUUCAACUUCAUCCAAAUCAAAACCCCCCUUUUAGUUUCUUGUUUCAAAGUGUUUCAAAUCUGUUUUAGUUUGUGUUUUUAAGUGUUUUGAUUUAAGUAAAAGUCAAUUUUCGUCCAAAGUCAUUCCAAGUGUCUAGUUUAAGUUUAUUUGGUUGUUUUAAACUGUUUUGAGUAUUUUAAGUUGGCUUUGAGUCUUGUGAGUCUUGUUAAGUGUUUUUAAGUUUAGUUUUAUGUUUUUGAGUCAGUUUAGAGGUUAUUAGCAAGCCUUCCUAAUCCCCGGUCCAGAACGAUCCCUACUUAUACUUGUACUACAAUUGUCAAAAGAGGGUUAAAUUUGUGUGUUAAGAUAAUUUUCGCAUCAAACCUAUCGGAUGAGAAAUUAAACAGAAGAAAAAUCAAAAGUUUCUUAACUGAACAUGAUCAUGAAUGGGUAAUAGGUUGCUGAUACAAAGAAAAAAAGAUAGAUUUUAUCUGCACAUCACCAUAAGAAAGAAAACGAUCACAAAAUACAUUUUUUCUUGGCAACUUUGUGGAACAGAAAGAAGCAGGAUACAUAAGGGGCAAAACAAUCUUCUUACUACUACAUCAAAGCAAAAGAACAACCAUUAUAUUAGUAUGCCAUUAUCAUCUGGGGAACAAAUCCAAUUGGCAGCUUUUACGUACCUACAAUUAUAAGCAAAGUUUGGAAUUCAUAGAAAAUACUGGGCAAAUACUAAGGCUACCAUUUGAAAAAGCUAAACAACAAUAAACUUUGACAAAUUAACUACAAUUAAAUUAAGAUGACAAUCAAUAUAUGAAGACAGUCUGAGAAAUCAAAGGCUCUCAAAUCAAUACCAUAUUUCAUGUGCCUUUUACUGAUAGUGAACCCAGCAGCCGAACCAGGAUAAAAAUUUGAUUUAGAACCUUGCUAUCUUUGUCCUUGUAAAUAUGAUAUUUUGGCAUCAGCAAUAUAUCACAAUAUAUAUAUAUAUAUAUAUAUUUAUCUGAACUCAAAGAAAAUAUAGAACGAACAUAAAAAAGGCAUAUUAUGAACGUUUAGAAGCAAAUUUCAUUAGCAAUUAAAGCAACCAAGCUCUCUCAACAUCACGAUUUAGAACCCCCCAGGAACCCAGAAAUUUAAUGAAAAUUUUUCUAAUCAUUCAAUUGGAUUAGACAAAACCAUGAAUUUUUUUCUUUCUAAAGCCCAAUUAUAUUAAAUCACAAAUUUGAAGCAGAUUUUGACAUGCAAUAAGUUAUUAAGAUAGGAAUCGCUUCAGACUAACCUCGAUGGCAGGGCCUCCGGAAUUGCCCGAUCCA